CAGAGGGAGUCAUGACCAGGUGGAUGAGAGCUGAGAGGAGUCAGCAAGGCUUAAUGUGAAGCCUGAGUGUUCCAGAAGGUGGAACUAACCCUGGAAGGUUUCAAGCAACUGGACAGACUUUCUGGGCACUUUAUUAUCAGUUUUUAGUUGGCCGUACCAUGUAAGGGAGACGUGUAAAGUGCUAUGGGACAAGCUACAACCCCUUGAUAUGCCAAAACCAACAGCAGCAGACUGGAUACAAAUUGCUGAGGAUUAUUACAUCAAAACAAACUUUUCCAACUGUGUUGACACAUUGGAUGUGAAACGUGUGUGUUGUUAUAUGAUCCAAGAGUGGUUCAAAGUACUGGAACUACAUAAUGUUCUCAGUUGUGCUUUUGGGUUUGGUUGACACCAACUACUGCUUUACCGUGAUAAAUGUGGGGUCAUAUUCAGCGCUCUCCAGGAUCUCCUCCUUGGUGGUUAGUUAAUUAUGUCAUUGCCAUUUGGCAAAGGUUACUAUGGUUCACUUACAUGCCCACUGUGGCAGCUGCCAUUGGGAUAAAAGUUUGUAAAAAGGCUGCGUUAGCUCUGCCACACCCUUCCAAUCUGGACAACAAAAGCUGUCAGCACAGCCUUUAUAUACAACCCCUUCUCUAUUUCCCUCUGCUGGGUGGUGGUAUGAAUUACACUUUUACCCAAUAUUAACAAACUUCUGCCUGUUUUUUUUUUUUAUGAAAAUAAAAUGUUAAAA
This is a long non-coding RNA of Xenopus tropicalis (tropical clawed frog), 730 nucleotides long. RefSeq lists it as uncharacterized. The record is from RefSeq and is a predicted model, not a curated record. Lineage: Eukaryota; Metazoa; Chordata; Amphibia; Anura; Pipidae. The transcript is spliced from 2 exons.